RNAcentral lists this long non-coding RNA (659 nucleotides) under Helianthus annuus (common sunflower). RNAcentral's name for it is "sRNA HanXRQr2_Chr12g0562111". Lineage: Eukaryota; Viridiplantae; Streptophyta; Magnoliopsida; Asterales; Asteraceae. The record is from RNAcentral.
UAAACGUUUGCUCCAUUGGUUUCAUACCGUACAAAUGUGCAGCACAUCCAAUAUCAUCAUCAUUAAGCUCAACUUUCCGAACACCCGAAGGCAUCGUCGGAAACAUAACCGCAUCUUCCACCGACGAGUGACCGAGCCCUAACACAUGCCAGAUCUCAUGCACCACAACAGUUUCCAAAUCGAUUGCUGUUCCAGACCCUGAACCAGAAGCAAAAUCACCGUCAAUGAUCCAUUGUUCAGCAUUAUCCAGAUGCAACACACCACUCUUUGCAUCCGCGUGGGCUAAGGUUCCCAACACUCCGUCAAACGGUUCACUGUCUCCAUGAUCACUAGCGUAAAAUCCGAUCUUAAUAUCAGCACCGAAGUAGGAACUGUCUUCUAUAAACAUUAACUGAGACCACUUCGACCACUGCUUGAAUGCGAUAAAUCGCGAUGUAAGGAUGCUCGUACAUGCGCGCGGUUCCAUCAACAAUGUCAGGCACUCCGCAUCUCGGUUUAACCAUCUGGUUAAUCGUUGAGCUGUCGAGUAUGCCGGUGGUGUUUAAGUUGAAGCUUUUUUGGUAAAUUUUUAUGGCGUGUUCAAGCGCGUCAUCAAAGUAAUCGUUGAAUUUGGUGGGCUGAUUGUUACUGUUAUUGUUAGUGAUGUAUCCGAACUGAUU